RNAcentral lists this transfer RNA (100 nucleotides) under Ascodesmis nigricans. It matches the Rfam family "tRNA". Rfam says of the family: Transfer RNA (tRNA) molecules are approximately 80 nucleotides in length. The record is from Rfam by way of RNAcentral. Lineage: Eukaryota; Fungi; Ascomycota; Pezizomycetes; Pezizales; Ascodesmidaceae.
GCUUGGUUGGCUCAGUUGGUAGAGCGUUGGUCUCAUAGUCAAUAUGACGAUUCUAAGAAUCGCAAUCCAAAGGUCGUGAGUUCGAGCCUCACACCGAGCA